CAGUGUAAGUGGUUGUGAGAGUGAUGGUUUAUUGGUUUUGCGAUUUCAGGAAUGUGCGCAAUUUAUAAUCCUCUCGUUUCUCUAAUAUCAUUUUUUAAUUAGGGACACAUUUUUCUUAGCUGGUAAGGUGGUGUCAGGGAUUUGAAAAUGUGCUAUUCUGUCGUGUGUGGUCGUCUUCUUGAUUUGUUCAGUACUUUUUUCAAUUGGAGAAUAAAUUUUCUUAGCAUGUAAGGAUUUUGGUGCUGGUUUUCCGCGUAGAAGGAGGAUGAGAACGGUGGAACUGCAUGACGAUGGGCUAGGGUUGUGCAAUGGCGGUGAAGCCAACUAGUCUCCAUUGAUUGAAUGCCACGUCGUUGGUUUGGAGCCCAUGUUACUUUUGGAGGAACCAAAGGACUAUGAAAUUAAG
This 406-nucleotide long non-coding RNA is filed under the name Phaseolus vulgaris (common bean). RNAcentral describes it as "long non-coding RNA (PVUL_LNC001153)". Lineage: Eukaryota; Viridiplantae; Streptophyta; Magnoliopsida; Fabales; Fabaceae. The record is from RNAcentral.